UACGUAGGGUGCGAGCGUUAAUCGGAUUUACUGGGCGUAAAGCGUGCGCAGGCGGCCCGUUAAGUCAGGUGUGAAAUCCCUGGGCUCAACCUAGGAAUUGCGCUUGUGACUGGCGGGCUCGAGUACGGUAGAGGGGGGUGGAAUUCCUGGUGUAGCAGUGAAAUGCGUAGAGAUCAGGAGGAACACCGAUGGCGAAGGCAGCCCCCUGGGCCUGUACUGACGCUCAUGCACGAAAGCGUGGGGAGCAAACAGG
Molecule: ribosomal RNA, 253 nt
Filed under: uncultured microorganism
Description: partial 16S ribosomal RNA
Rfam family: Bacterial small subunit ribosomal RNA
Source: RNAcentral